Molecule: ribosomal RNA, 292 nt
Filed under: uncultured bacterium
Lineage: Bacteria
Description: partial 16S ribosomal RNA
Rfam family: Bacterial small subunit ribosomal RNA
Source: RNAcentral
GUGUCAGCAGCCGCGGUAAUACAGAGGGUGCAAGCGUUAAUCGGAGUUACUGGGCGUAAAGGGCGCGUAGGCGGAUAUGUAAGUGAGAUGUGAAAGCCCUGGGCUUAACCUAGGAACUGCAUCUUAUACUGCGUAUCUAGAGUAUUGUAGAGGGUAGUGGAAUUUCCGGUGUAGCGGUGAAAUGCGUAGAGAUCGGAAGGAACACCAGUGGCGAAGGCGGCUACCUGGACAAAUACUGACGCUGAGGCGCGAAAGCGUGGGGAUCAAACAGGAUUAGAAACCCUGGUAGUCC